This 229-nucleotide long non-coding RNA is filed under the name Setaria italica (foxtail millet). RNAcentral describes it as "long non-coding RNA (SITA_LNC001406)". The record is from RNAcentral. Lineage: Eukaryota; Viridiplantae; Streptophyta; Magnoliopsida; Poales; Poaceae.
GGCGCUGACGGAGAUCCAUGGAUUUGGCGCAAUUAAUGGCGGGCCGGUACUGGUACAACCGGCGUUCUAGAAGGCAGACCUGCGGGAGCCCGGCCUAUCCGGACGUGUCGUAUGACCUUCACCCGGAGCUGACCAAGCACUGGCGCACUUGCUACAAGUUCCUUGCCUGCAAGGGUAACGAAUCCUCGGCCGCGACCAGACACGAAUCGAAUCGGAAAACGCAGCUCGG